RNAcentral lists this ribosomal RNA (254 nucleotides) under uncultured bacterium. RNAcentral describes it as "partial 16S ribosomal RNA". It matches the Rfam family "Bacterial small subunit ribosomal RNA", at positions 524 to 776 of the family's 1533-position model. The record is from RNAcentral.
UACGUAGGGUGCAAGCGUUUGUCCGGAAUUACUGGGCGUAAAGGGCUCGUAGGCGGCCAACUAAGUCAGACGUGAAAUCCCUCGGCUUAACCGGGGAACUGCGUCUGAUACUGGAUGGCUGGAGUUUGGGAGAGGGAUGCGGAAUUCCAGGUGUAGCGGUGAAAUGCGUAGAUAUCUGGAGGAACACCGGUGGCGAAGGCGGCAUCCUGGACCAACACUGACGCUGAUGAGCGAAAGCCAGGGGAGCAAACGGG